AUGCUGAUAUGAGUAUCAUAGAUACUAAAUUACUGGAAUGAUACAGAGAAGGUUAUUGUGGCCCCUGUACAAGAUGGCAUGUAUCUUCAUGAAAUAUUCCAUAUCUGG
This is a small nuclear RNA of Choloepus hoffmanni (Hoffmann's two-fingered sloth), 108 nucleotides long. The record is from Ensembl. NCBI's taxonomy places the organism in Eukaryota, Metazoa, Chordata, Mammalia, Pilosa, Megalonychidae.